AGAACUAUAUGACUGAGAGGUGGAAUGACGGAGUAACGCCCUGAAACGCCUCCCCUAAUACUCCGAUAUGCGAUGCAAUUCUAACUAAGUUGCAUGGUAUAAAGCUCGGUGAAGUCGGUUGAGAACUACUCCUAACAUGUUAUGAUGAGGAAAUGCGAACCAGAGGUGGUCGAGGUAGUGAUAGACCGGGGGUCGA
Molecule: non-coding RNA, 196 nt
Filed under: uncultured Cetobacterium sp.
Lineage: Bacteria; Fusobacteriati; Fusobacteriota; Fusobacteriia; Fusobacteriales; Fusobacteriaceae
Source: RNAcentral